Long non-coding RNA from Amblyraja radiata (thorny skate), 612 nucleotides. RefSeq lists it as uncharacterized. The transcript has 3 exons. Lineage: Eukaryota; Metazoa; Chordata; Chondrichthyes; Rajiformes; Rajidae. The record is from RefSeq and is a predicted model, not a curated record.
GGGAGAGAGAGAGAGAGAGAGAGAGAGAGGAUGAGAGAGAUAGAGUGAGAGAGAGAGAAAACGCACAUUCAACAUGAUCGUUAGUUUAAAACUCUCCCCGCCACAUUUCCAGGUACAAUACGAAACAUCUUUGAUCCACCUCUCCUGCGGCCUUGAGUAGUUGUUGCCCGGAGGCGGCAUUGCCGACAGCCACGUCGGUGAGCACCCGUACCCAUUUGUCUGUAUGUAUGUGGCCCCGUCCUCUCCCGCCGCCCGCCCACCUCCCCUGCCUGUCCGCUCGGUACAUGGACGUGAAGUGUUGCCCCGCAUCGAUUGAGGGCCCUGAGUAGAAUGCGAGUCAUGGGGCAGGGCCAGCACGCACCCACCACCCCCACCUCCAGCAGGUGGUGGCAUUGUUCGGUUUGAGGGAGGACGAGGGUGGGGGGGGGGGGGGGGGGGGAGUGGGGGCUUCAGGCAGGAGCGCCAUCUUUGGCUAGUGGAAGUCAGUCGGAAUCCCGUCACAGUGUAGUGGCUCCUUUUUUUCCUCUUUGUGUUUUUUUUUUUUUUUUUUUUAAGAGCUGACCAGGAUCUCCAUGAUGUGAUCAAGGUCGUUCAGGUCCGUCCUUAAACUGG